CCGAAGGUGGGGCUAAUGACUGGGGUGAAGUCGUAACAAGGUAGCCGUACCGGAAGGUGCGGCUGGAUCACCUCCUAACAGGGAGACAACAAAAUGUUAAAUAUUAAUUUUGUCACCUUAGGUCGAUCGGUAUCUCAGAUUCUUAAUUACUUUAAGAAUUUCAUUUCCUAAGUUUUUUCUAGGUCACACCCAUUACUUUCCCUGGGCCAUUAGCUCAGGUGGUUAGAGCGCACCCCUGAUAAGGGUGAGGUCCCUGGUUCAAGUCCAGGAUGGCCCAUAUCUCUAUGUUGGGGGUAUAGCUCAGUUGGUAGAGCGCCUGCUUUGCAAGCAGGAUGUCAGCGGUUCGAGUCCGCUUACCUCCACUGAUUACCACCUCUUACAUAAAUUUAAAGAAGGGAAUUGUUAAUAGAGGUGAUUUAGUUCUGAACGAAUCUAGCUUCCUAAUAAAUACAUUAAGAUGCUGGACUCAUUGAAUUUUAUUCAUUGUUUUCAGAGAACCUUGACAACUGCAUAGAUUAUUUUUAAAGACAAUAAGCAUCUUUAAUGAUGCAGAUUUAUUAUUUGUGCUAAUGCAUUAAUAACAAUUCUAUUGAGCUGAUGCUUCAAUUUUUUGAAGUUAUUGGUCAAGCUACAAAGGGCUCACGGAGGAUACCUAGGCACACAGA
This 665-nucleotide unclassified non-coding RNA is filed under the name uncultured Prochlorococcus sp. RNAcentral's name for it is "partial may contain 16S ribosomal RNA, 16S-23S ribosomal RNA intergenic spacer, and 23S ribosomal RNA". The stretch from base 290 to 362 matches the Rfam family "tRNA". The record is from RNAcentral. Lineage: Bacteria; Bacillati; Cyanobacteriota; Cyanophyceae; Synechococcales; Prochlorococcaceae.